RNAcentral lists this ribosomal RNA (253 nucleotides) under uncultured bacterium. RNAcentral describes it as "partial 16S ribosomal RNA". It matches the Rfam family "Bacterial small subunit ribosomal RNA", at positions 524 to 776 of the family's 1533-position model. The record is from RNAcentral.
UACGUAGGGUGCAAGCGUUAAUCGGAAUUACUGGGCGUAAAGCGUGCGCAGGCGGUGAUGUAAGACAGUUGUGAAAUCCCCGGGCUCAACCUGGGAACUGCAUCUGUGACUGCAUCGCUGGAGUGCGGCAGAGGGGGAUGGAAUUCCGCGUGUAGCAGUGAAACGCGUAGAUAUGCGGAGGAACACCGAUGGCGAAGGCAAUCCCCUGGGCCUGCACUGACGCUCAUGCACGAAAGCGUGGGGAGCAAACAGG